RNAcentral lists this non-coding RNA (92 nucleotides) under unclassified sequences. The record is from RNAcentral.
UAAAUACUGCCACCGGGCAGAUAGAAUGCAAAAAGCAUUCGUCGGCGUAUCGUUAGGUCUUAGAAGAUACGUUUGGCGGAUGCUUAUUUUUU